GAUGAACGCUGGCGGCGUGCCUAAUACAUGCAAGUCGAGCGAACAGACGAGGAUCUUACUCCUCUGACGUUAGCGGCGCACGGGUGAGUAACACAUGUAUACCCCACAUAUAGAACUGGGAUAAAUUCGGGAAACAGGAGCUAAUACCGCAUAAUAUAUUGAACCGUGUGGUUCAAUUAUUAUUGACGGUUUUGCUGUCACGUAUGGAUGUAUGCGCGCUGCAUUAGCUAGUUGGUAAGGUAACGGCUUACCAAUGCAACGAUGCGUUGCCGACCUGAGAGGGUGAUCGGCCACACUGGAACUGAGACACGGUCCAGACUCGUACGGGAGGCAGCAGUAGGGAAUGUUCCGCAGAGGGCGAAAGCCUGACGGAGCAACGCCGCGUGAGUGAUGAAGGUCUUCGGAUCGUAAUACUCUGUUAUUAGGGAAGAACAAAUGUGUAAGUAACUAUGCACGUCUUGACGGUACCUAAUCAGAAAGCAACGGCUAACUACGUG
This 497-nucleotide ribosomal RNA is filed under the name uncultured bacterium. Its description in RNAcentral is "partial 16S ribosomal RNA". It matches the Rfam family "Bacterial small subunit ribosomal RNA", at positions 28 to 507 of the family's 1533-position model. The record is from RNAcentral.